GAAUGAACGCUGGCGGCGCGCCUAAUACAUGCAAGUCGAGCGAGAAGACGUAGCAAUACGUUUGUAAAGCGGCGAACGGGUGAGGAAUACAUGGGUAACCUACCCUCGAGUGGGGAAUAACUAGCCGAAAGGUUAGCUAAUACCGCGUACGCUUCUUGGACUUCGGUUCAGGGAGGAAAGCGAUACCGUGGGUAUCGCGCUCUUGGAUGGGCUCAUGUCCUAUCAGCUUGUUGGNGAGGUAACGGCUCACCAAGGCUUCGACGGGUAGCUGGUCUGAGAGGACGAUCAGCCACACUGGCACUGCGACACGGGCCAGACUCCUACGGGAGGCAGCAGUAAGGAAUAUUGCGCAAUGGGCGAAAGCCUGACGCAGCGACGCCGCGUGGGGGAGUGAAGGUCUUCGGAUUGUAAACCCCUUUCGGGAGGGAAGAUGGAACGAGCAAUCGUUCGGACGGUACCUCCA
RNAcentral lists this ribosomal RNA (463 nucleotides) under uncultured bacterium. RNAcentral's name for it is "bacterial SSU rRNA". It matches the Rfam family "Bacterial small subunit ribosomal RNA", at positions 27 to 483 of the family's 1533-position model. The record is from RNAcentral.